GGUCGUGAAGUGCUGGCCGAGGCGCGCGUGCGCCUGGGGCGUGCGCCGGCUGCGGUUCUGGCUGCCCUGGACGACCU
This 77-nucleotide transfer RNA is filed under the name compost metagenome. RNAcentral describes it as "tRNA-Pro". The record is from RNAcentral.